UGGCUCGCAACGGCGCUCGUGGUGGCUCGUGAAGGCGUGACGAUCUGGUGCGGCGAGGUCGCAGUGACUAUGCGAGGACGUUGGUUGUCCUGAUUCGCGACGCAAAGGGGAGGCUCCCUUUCUCUUUUCCUUUGUUGCUUUGCCGCAUAGUGAGAGAAGGCGCGACAGGCGGCGAUCGUGGUGGCUCGUGGAGGCGCGACGAUCACGGAGCGAUGGUGCGGUGAGGUCAUAGUGAUUGUGCGAGGACGUUGGUCGUCCUGAUUCGCCGCGUAAAGGGGAGGCUCCCUUUCUCUUUUCCUUUGCUACUUCGCCUCGGUGAGAGAAGACGACGAAGACAUGUCGCGAGUGACCUCCAG
RNAcentral lists this long non-coding RNA (356 nucleotides) under Vigna radiata. RNAcentral describes it as "long non-coding RNA (VRAD_LNC007105)". Lineage: Eukaryota; Viridiplantae; Streptophyta; Magnoliopsida; Fabales; Fabaceae. The record is from RNAcentral.